RNAcentral lists this ribosomal RNA (1218 nucleotides) under uncultured Rhizaria. RNAcentral describes it as "SSU rRNA". It matches the Rfam family "Eukaryotic small subunit ribosomal RNA", at positions 577 to 1805 of the family's 1831-position model. The record is from RNAcentral.
CGGUAAUUCCAGCUCCAAUAGCGUAUACUAAAGUUGUUGCAGUUAAAAAGCUCGUAGUUGGAUUUCUGCGGGGACGGAGCGGCCGGUCGCAACUUGCGACUCGAGCUAGCGCUUUCCCCGCAUCCUGCCGCGAACCGUGCUACCAUUAGCUUGGUGGCGCUGGGGAUCGGCUCGAUUACUUUGAGAAAAAUAGAGUGUUCAAAGCAGGCCACACGCCUUGAAUAAGUUAGCAUGGAAUAAUGACUAAGGACUUUGGUUCUUUUCGUUGGUGUUCGGGACUGAAGUAAUGAUUGAUAGGGACAGUUGGGGCGGUCCGUAUUCCAAAGCGAGAGGUGAAAUUCUUAGACCUUCGGAAGACGAACAGCUGCGAAAGCGUUCCGCAAGGAUGUUCCCUUUGAUCAAGAACGAAAGUUGGGGGAUCGAAGACGAUCAGAUACCGUCGUAGUCUCAACUAUAAACUAUACCAGCUAGGGAUCGGCCAACGUUUAAUUUAUCGACUUGGUCGGCACCUUAUGAGAAAUCAAAGCAUCUGGGUUCCGGGGGGAGUAUGGUCGCAAGGCUGAAACUUAAAGGAAUUGACGGAAGGGCACCACCAGCCGUGGAGCCUGUGGCUUAAUUUGACUCAACACGGGAAAGCUUACCAGGUCCGGACAUAGUAAGGAUUGUCAGAUUGAUAGCUCUUUCUUGAUUCUGUGGGUGGUGGUGCAUGGCCGUUUUUAGUCGGUGGAUGUGAUCUGUCUGCUUAAUUGCGUUAACGGACGAGACCCCAGCCUGCUAAAUAGCGCGGCCGAGCUUUGCUCGGUGCGAGCUUCUUAGAGGGACCAUGAUGCGCGAUAGCACAAGGAAGUUUGGGGCAACAACAGGUCUGUGAUGCCCUUAGAUGUUCUGGGCCGCACACGGGCUACACUGGCGCCUGCAACGAGCAUAUCAGCUGGCCCGAGAGGGUCUUGGCUAAUCUUUGGAACCGGCGCCGUGCUUGGGAUUGACCAUUGCAAUUGUUGGUCAUGCAACGAGGAAUGCCUUGUAAACGCGAGUCAUCAGCUCGCAUUGAAUACGUCCCUGCCCUUUGUACACACCGCCCGUCGCUCCUACCGAUGAAUGUUCCGAUGAAAUUUUCGGAGAGCACCAGAGAACGGGGCUCCGCCUUGCAGAUCUGGAGGCUCAAAGUCACUUAAAUCUGAACAUUUCGAGGAAGGAGAAGUCGUAACAAGGUAGCCG